AAAAAGGCUUGGAACGGAAAAAGUAGAAAAUCAGAAUUGUUUCACAGAGAAUGGCAGACAAAUGGGGCUGGAAGCUGCCUGAAACGAGGGUUUUUGAAGUGCGUCCGGAAGCUGGCCGGGUGAAGCGGAAAAAGUGGGUAGUCCGGCACGGGUCCUGCACGUUAUGCAGAAGAAAAGAAGAGGGCAGGUGUGCCCUUAAAGUAAAGUGGAACCACGGAGCUAUUUCGUCUUUAUC
Molecule: non-coding RNA, 235 nt
Filed under: Blautia sp.
Lineage: Bacteria; Bacillati; Bacillota; Clostridia; Lachnospirales; Lachnospiraceae
Description: T-box sequence
Rfam family: T-box leader
About the family: Uncharged tRNA acts as the effector for transcription antitermination of genes in the T-box leader family.
Source: RNAcentral